AAAACGACUCUCGGCAACGGAUAUCUCGGCUCUCGCAUCGAUGAAGAACGUAGCGAAAUGCGAUACUUGGUGUGAAUUGCAGAAUCCCGUGAACCAUCGAGUCUUUGAACGCAAGUUGCGCCCGAAGCCUUUAGGCCGAGGGCGCGCCUGCCUGGGCGUCACA
Molecule: ribosomal RNA, 163 nt
Filed under: Pyrus pyrifolia
Lineage: Eukaryota; Viridiplantae; Streptophyta; Magnoliopsida; Rosales; Rosaceae
Description: 5.8S ribosomal RNA
Rfam family: 5.8S ribosomal RNA
About the family: 5.8S ribosomal RNA (5.8S rRNA) is a component of the large subunit of the eukaryotic ribosome.
Source: RNAcentral